CAAGCACUCAGCCUCAUCCUAAGUGUUCAUGUCAACUAGCAAAGGUCUGCAUUUUCUGAUAAAAUAACUCAUAAAACUUCCAUAUUAAGAACUAAAAUGGUUUGGAAGACAAAGAAGUGCUGAGAAAUUUUGCGAGAUACUUCCAGAUGUCCAGUGGAUUCACCUGUCAGAGCUGAUUAAGGUUUAUUGUCAAAGGGUGAACUUCAUGGCAGCUUAAGCCCACGCAUGUCAUUGCUUAGCUCUCAGUCUGAAUCAGGAAAGAAAACUGAGAUUCUAAAACGUUGAAUAACCUACACAAGUUCACACAGCAAGAAAGAGACAGGACCAUGGUUCAACUUCCUCCACAGCAGUGUUUGCUCUCCUCUACAGCAACCAUAACACAGCCGACUCUUUGCAGCAGAGAAAAUGUAAACCCUGGAACUUUCACAGAGAGCCUGUGCUGGGAAGCCUCCGGGACCAUCUGCUCCUCCAGAAGGCCUGCAACUGUUCUUUUCAUGUUUG
Molecule: long non-coding RNA, 501 nt
Organism: Pongo pygmaeus (Bornean orangutan)
Lineage: Eukaryota; Metazoa; Chordata; Mammalia; Primates; Hominidae
Exons: 3
Source: RefSeq, a predicted model, not a curated record